GUGCCUUAAACUAAUGAGUAAGGAAAAUUACAAGCCUUGAUGAUUCUCGGCUUAAUUAAUGAAGUCGUUAAACCGGGUGGGAUGUUGUUCAUACCACUUAUGAAAUGGCUUAAGAAUUUUUAGAGGGGUACAGGUCGUCCUUAGGCGUAACUCACUACUUUUGAGUUGUGUUUGAGCGUUUAGCGAUCUGCCCA
This is a small nuclear RNA of Condylostylus longicornis, 194 nucleotides long. RefSeq annotates it as U12 minor spliceosomal RNA. The transcript has a single exon. The record is from RefSeq and is a predicted model, not a curated record. Lineage: Eukaryota; Metazoa; Arthropoda; Insecta; Diptera; Dolichopodidae.